This 404-nucleotide unclassified non-coding RNA is filed under the name Hevea brasiliensis (rubber tree). Lineage: Eukaryota; Viridiplantae; Streptophyta; Magnoliopsida; Malpighiales; Euphorbiaceae. The record is from RNAcentral.
AAUUAUCAAGGAUUUCUGUAGAAAACAAAGAGAGACUGCUGGAAAGAUUGUUCAAAAAAAAAAAAAAGAAAAAUUACAUCACUAACAAAAGCAAUAUAGCACCGAAGUCAGAAUCAAGAUUGAUAGACUGCAGGCUGAUAAGGAGAGAUUGUACAUUGAUAAAUAUGCCUAAGUUCUUUUGCCACUUCUAUCAUUAUUGGCCUAUCUUCUGCCGAAUCAUUAAUGCAUCUAAGUGCAAGACUUCUAAAAGCUUCCAAUUGUUGCUCCUUCCCAAGCAUUGCUGCCUCUUCAACAAUAAUGGGAUCCACCAUCUCCUGAAAUAUAUUCAUUUCAAUAGAUUUUUUCACUUGAUUCACCAGAAGAAAUUCAUCUCCUUUUUCAGUGCGUGACAAAUCGGAUGAUCU